GCCUCGAUGGUGUAGUGGUCAUCACGCCCGACAAGUAACUUAGGGAGACGUGAGUUUGAUUCCCGCUCGGAACA
Molecule: non-coding RNA, 74 nt
Organism: Desmophyllum pertusum
Lineage: Eukaryota; Metazoa; Cnidaria; Anthozoa; Scleractinia; Caryophylliidae
Source: the annotation of a GenBank genome assembly